This is a long non-coding RNA of Parus major (Great Tit), 2061 nucleotides long. RefSeq lists it as uncharacterized. The record is from RefSeq and is a predicted model, not a curated record. The transcript has 2 exons. NCBI's taxonomy places the organism in Eukaryota, Metazoa, Chordata, Aves, Passeriformes, Paridae.
CCACUGUUGUUAUUCCAAGUCACUCCAGCUGAGCAACUUCUUGAUCUUUAUCAGUAAAGGUACCUGCCUGCAGUGCUGGGGCUGCUGUGAGUGACUCUGGGUGGGCACAUGUCAAAAUCCCACCAGCUGUGGGGAGAGCAGGGCAGGCCAGGCCUCAGCUCCAUGUGCUCUUGGGCAAGGUGUGGCUUUCUGCUGGCCCCUCUGGAUGUCCUUCCCCUUCCAUUAAGGUGCCAAGAGAAUUAAACAAUGGCAACAGUACCAUUCCAGGUGUAAAAAAAUCCGCUAAAUGUCUUUUCCCCAAAAAUAAUUAUUUAAUUUCAGCUUUGCUUCACAAGAACAGUCCUCUUUCUUCCUACAACAGCCAGUUUGGCUUUGUGUGUCAGAAGGGCAUCAUGUGCCCUGGGGCUGGGGACACUGGACCUGCCCUGGGGUAGCCUUUGGAGCCCCACUGGAGCCAACCUGCUCCAUGGUGCACUUGGAACACUGACUGCACUUCUUGCACUGGCUGUUUUGGGGUCUGUUACUGCUUUGGGGGCAGGCCUGGGUAUCUGCUGUCUGCACAGGAGCUGACAGCAAAGGAAAGAAUUGUUGCAAAAACAAAAACUGCAAAACCAGAGGAACUGCAUCACUUCCCGGCACCUGCAGCUGUGGGGCCCUUCCUCUCCGUGGCUCCUGGGGGUGAGAGCCACCCUGCCACGCUCAACAGCUCCCUCCAGCCUGUGGGUUGGGUGGGGGUUUUGUGCAAUCCUAAUACAGUGCAGGCAUUCCCUCACUUCUGGGGAGCUUCAAUCCUAUAGGUCAGGCAUGCUGGGCUGGGGCAAGUGACAGUGCUGACAGGCUGAGGUCACUAGCAGGCCUCGAUUCAUGCAUUCCUCUACAUGUGCCACAAAGUCCAGGAUGAUAAACCACAGGCUAAUCCUGGCUGUGGGGCAGAGAUCUGCUUCCUGAGUUUGUCCCUCUAGGAUGGGGAGAGCAGCCCUAUCUGCCACCUGUGCUGGGACAGGGAGAGGGGGGACACAAACGAGGGUGGGGGCAGGAGUGGCUCUCAGCUCCCCAUUUUCUUGGCUCUUUUUCUUACCUGGUCCCAGCUGAGUCACACACAGUCCUCCCCCACCUUCAUCAUGGCCCCAAAAGCCACAGUGCUGAGGGAGGGACAGGAUGUCCCAGUCCUGUGGAGUCUCUGGUGUGCAGUACAGGGGUUGGUCACACACUGGCCUUCCCCAGGAACAAAAUGGAAGCAGGUCUGCCCCUCAUCCUCCAUCCUGGCCUUGGCUCUUUGCACACACUGGAGGGACCAAGGGGCCUUUUCCUCCCCUCUCUCAAACCCUGCUGAUGUCAGCACUGGGCUCAGCAGCUUUAUUGUAGGGAGAAAGACACCAAGCUGUCACAUGGCCUCUGCUAUUUCCUAAGAAACCAGCUUGAAAAUAUAAAGGAAAAAAAAAUAAAAAUAAAAGAACAAUUAAAAAAAAAGAAAAAAGGGGGGAAAAGAAAAAAAGCAAAGCAACAAGAAGGGAGAGCAGAAGGCUGGAGAGCCUGACAGAGCACCCACAGGGACAGAUUACAGGGGAACACUAAGGUUUAAAGCAAGCAGGAGGAAUGGUCCCUGACCCACCAUGCCCCUACUGCCAUGGCAAAUGUCAGUCCCUCUGCCAAACCCCACACAGGCAGCCCAGCCCUGGACCAUCAGUGGGAAAACACAGUGGGAAGGAUUUGUGUCUGUCCUUUGCUUGUAGUGGAUCAAAAGCAGGGGAUGGCUUCUGUGACACAGCCAGCAAAGGGGGGAAUAAAGAAUAUACUUCUGGCCAAAGCAGAGUCCUUCUUUAGUGACACCAAAGUGCUACCUGGCUUGCAAACUUAAAAAACCCAACACAAACAAACUUCUAAGAAAAAUAAAGCAAGGACAAGCUCUCUUCACUGCGUCAAUUUAAUUGCAUCAACACCCAGAAAUACACAUGCCAAGAGCCACCCAUCCAAGAGAGCAUCCUUCCAUGGUGGGUCUUACUUUCACACUCCUUUCACUCAAAAAUAAAAAGAAAAAAAGAAGAAAAUAAAAGAAAAAAA